Molecule: ribosomal RNA, 252 nt
Filed under: uncultured bacterium
Lineage: Bacteria
Description: partial 16S ribosomal RNA
Rfam family: Bacterial small subunit ribosomal RNA
Source: RNAcentral
UACGUAGGUCCCGAGCGUUGUCCGGAUUUAUUGGGCGUAAAGCGAGCGCAGGUGGUUUAUUAAGUCUGGUGUAAAAGGCAGUGGCUCAACCAUUGUAUGCAUUGGAAACUGGUAGACUUGAGUGCAGGAGAGGAGAGUGGAAUUCCAUGUGUAGCGGUGAAAUGCGUAGAUAUUCGGAGGAACACCGGUGGCGAAGGCGGCCAACUGGGCUUUAACUGACGCUGAGGCUCGAAAGUGUGGGGAGCAAACAGG